ACGUAAUCUGGUUACUUCCACAGAGGUCAGUCUUUCUUGUGUGAGCACUGGAACUGGCCUUGCACAGUGCUCUGAGCUGUGUUGGCAGCUGCUGGUGAGGCAGCAAAGCGCCAGGUCCCUGGGCAAAGUUAGCACUCCAGCACAACCUUGACUCGGUGGUGCAGCCGUUGUAGCUCUGUACAAGAUGGGCUUCAGAGGAAAUGACCGUGGGAUUGUCGCAGCAGCUACAAAAGCUGCAGAAGAGUUCAAGAGUGUGCCAUUUUCAAUGCCAUUCAGGAUGCCUUGGAGGCUGAUGGACCUGCACUUAUAAACAAGGUGAAAGGGUUUAUUGCUUCCAAGUUAAGGGUGGUCCUGGUGGUAGUGAAGCCAAAUGGAUUUUGUUGAUGCCAAAAAUGACCAGGAUCAGUCACCUUGAAUGGCACAGCAAAACCAGACGUCACCAUCACCAUGACGGACGAAGACCUCGUUAACCUGAUGGAGGGCAAGUUAAACAAAAAGGCUUUUUUUCCAAGGUAAACUUAAGAUCAAGGCAACAUGGGCCUGGCUAUGAAAUUACAGGAGUUCAAAAGCAGGCACAGCAGCUAAAGGCAAAUUGUAGAAGUUCAUUUUCCUAAUCCUAUCUGUGUAAACACUCCAUGCACAGCUGUCUUAAACUAUUCUCAUAUUCCUUUCUUACCACUUACAACAUGCUUGUUCUGGACAUCAUUACCUCUCUUGGUGCAUCUUGUGAAUAUCAUGCAAGUUUUUAACAAGUCCAGUUAAUUCAUACUUUCCAAGCCACUCAUCCCAUUAUACAGGAACUGUCUGUCUUAUUUUCACCUGAAUUAAAUAAAAAAAUUUGGGUGUCUAGUUGACUGAUCAGUACAGUACAGUAGUGGAAAGUAUGACAUUAAUUAUCCUCACAAGUGGUCAGCCAGUUGAGAAGUGUAACACUAUUUGUAAUAAAAUUUGGGAUAAGUCUACCA
RNAcentral lists this long non-coding RNA (965 nucleotides) under Homarus americanus (American lobster). Its description in RNAcentral is "uncharacterized LOC121868633, transcript variant X2". The record is from RNAcentral. Lineage: Eukaryota; Metazoa; Arthropoda; Malacostraca; Decapoda; Nephropidae.